This 666-nucleotide long non-coding RNA is filed under the name Androctonus crassicauda. Lineage: Eukaryota; Metazoa; Arthropoda; Arachnida; Scorpiones; Buthidae. The record is from RNAcentral.
GGACCCAAAUGGAAUUCAUUAUUGGAUUCAGUAUCCUAAAAAACAUAAAAUUUACCAAAAAUAUCUCAUCCAGCUGAAAAAAAAUUUGUUUUGCAGACCUAUGUUAUAAGUGUGGUAUAAGUGGAUAUGCUAUAGAGAACUUUGUAUUUCCUCAGACUGGGUAUAUGGAAGGCCUUAUUUUCCAACAAGAUGGAGCUCUGCCACGUUAUGUAAUGAUUGUGUGGACAAUGCUCAACAAUUGAAUCUCAAGAAAAUAGAUAGACAGAGAAGAUUCAUUGGCAUCAUGCAGUCCCAAUUUAACUCUAAUAGAUUUCUUUUUUUAGAAUUACAUAAAAGACAUUGUGUAUCAAGAAAAAGCCAGUCCCUUGCUCAUCUGCACCAUACAAUAACAGCAAUCAUAGAAACAUUUCCUAUAGAUAUGCUUACCCAAAUGUGGUCAGAGGUGGAAUUCAAUUUUUAUGUCUGUAAGGCUAUAAAUGGUGUACAUACUGACCAUUACGCUAACAGAUAAUCAAACUUAUGAUAUUGUACUUUGAUAAUAUAAAGGUAGUCCAAAAAUAUGUUUUGCAUAUAUAUAUUUAGAUUCAUAUGGAGUAAAAUAUAUCAUAUGUAAUCCUAAUCCAACCAAAUUCUACCCAUAAUUAAUUAUUUUAGAAUUAAAUUGCC